RNAcentral lists this ribosomal RNA (497 nucleotides) under uncultured bacterium. RNAcentral's name for it is "partial 16S ribosomal RNA". It matches the Rfam family "Bacterial small subunit ribosomal RNA", at positions 28 to 507 of the family's 1533-position model. The record is from RNAcentral.
GAUGAACGCUGGCGGCGUGCCUAAUACAUGCAAGUCGAGCGAACGGACGAGAGGCUUGCUUCUCCGAUGUUAGCGGCGGACGGGUGAGUAACACGUGGAUAACCUACCUAUAAGACUGGGAUAACUUCGGGAAACCGGAGCUAAUACCGGAUAAUAUUUUGAACCGCAUGGUUCAAAAGUGAAAGACGGUCUUGCUGUCACUUAUAGAUGGAUCCGCGCUGCAUUAGCUAGUUGGUAAGGUAACGGCUUACCAAGGCAACGAUGCAUAGCCGACCUGAGAGGGUGAUCGGCCACACUGGAACUGAGACACGGUCCAGACUCCUACGGGAGGCAGCAGUAGGGAAUCUUCCGCAAAGGGCGAAAGCCUGACGGAGCAACGCCGCGUGAGUGAUGAAGGUCUUCGGAUCGUAAAACUCUGUUAUUAGGGAAGAACAUAUGUGUAAGUAACUGUGCACAUCUUGACGGUACCUAAUCAGAAAGCCACGGCUAACUACGUG